Molecule: ribosomal RNA, 449 nt
Filed under: uncultured bacterium
Lineage: Bacteria
Description: partial 16S ribosomal RNA
Rfam family: Bacterial small subunit ribosomal RNA
Source: RNAcentral
AACGAACGCUGGCGGCAGGCUUAACACAUGCAAGUCGAACGCUGUAGCAAUACAGAGUGGCAGACGGGUGAGUAACGCGUGGGAACGUGCCUUUCGGUUCGGAAUAACUCAGGGAAACUUGAGCUAAUACCGGAUACGCGCUUCGGGGGAAAGAUUUAUUGCCGAAAGAUCGGCCCGCGUCCGAUUAGCUAGUUGGUGAGGUAAUGGCUCUCCAAGGCGAGGACCGGUAGCUGGUCUGAGAGGAUGAUCAGCCACACUGGGACUGAGACACGGCCCAGACUCCGACGGGAGGCAGCGGUGGUGAAGAUUGGACAAUGGAGGCAAGCCUGAUCCAGCCAUGCCGCGUGAGUGAUGAAGGCCCUAGUGUUGUAAAGCUCUUUCGCCAGGGACGAUAAUGACGGUACCUGGAUAAGAAGCCCCGGCUAACUUCGUGCCAGCAGCCGCCGUAA